UCUUUGACUACUGAGUGGUUCUUUCCAGGACUGUCCAACCUGAGAAUGGUGAUUUCAGGCUCAAUCUCAGGUUCGUCAGCCCAUGAAACGCCAACUCUCCUCAGCACA
This is a microRNA precursor of Poecilia formosa (Amazon molly), 108 nucleotides long. The record is from Ensembl. Lineage: Eukaryota; Metazoa; Chordata; Actinopteri; Cyprinodontiformes; Poeciliidae.